GCGAGAGUGGCGGAACUGGUAGACGCACUGGACUUAGGAUCCAGCUCUUGAAAAAGAAUGGGAGUUCGAGUCUCCCCUCUCGCACCA
Molecule: transfer RNA, 87 nt
Filed under: Desulfobacterales bacterium
Lineage: Bacteria; Pseudomonadati; Thermodesulfobacteriota; Desulfobacteria; Desulfobacterales
Description: tRNA-Leu
Rfam family: tRNA
About the family: Transfer RNA (tRNA) molecules are approximately 80 nucleotides in length. Their secondary structure includes four short double-helical elements and three loops (D, anti-codon, and T loops).
Source: RNAcentral